UACGUAGGGUGCAAGCGUUGUCCGGAAUUAUUGGGCGUAAAGAGCUCGUAGGCGGUCUGUCGCGUCGGCUGUGAAAUCCCGAGGCUCAACCUCGGGUCUGCAGUCGAUACGGGCAAACUGGAGUACUGCAGGGGAGACUGGAAUUCCUGGUGUAGCGGUGAAAUGCGCAGAUAUCAGGAGGAACACCGGUGGCGAAGGCGGGUCUCUGGGCAGUAACUGACGCUGAGGAGCGAAAGCGUGGGGAGCAAACAGG
RNAcentral lists this ribosomal RNA (253 nucleotides) under uncultured bacterium. RNAcentral's name for it is "partial 16S ribosomal RNA". It matches the Rfam family "Bacterial small subunit ribosomal RNA", at positions 524 to 776 of the family's 1533-position model. The record is from RNAcentral.